GCGCUGUCGGUGCCGCGCGUGGCGCCACUGCCCGGUUGCGCGAGAGUU
This 48-nucleotide small nucleolar RNA is filed under the name Trypanosoma cruzi strain CL Brener. Its description in RNAcentral is "Trypanosomatid snoRNA TB11Cs4H3". It matches the Rfam family "Trypanosomatid snoRNA TB11Cs4H3", at positions 27 to 74 of the family's 74-position model. The record is from Rfam by way of RNAcentral. Lineage: Eukaryota; Euglenozoa; Kinetoplastea; Trypanosomatida; Trypanosomatidae.